This 254-nucleotide ribosomal RNA is filed under the name uncultured bacterium. RNAcentral describes it as "partial 16S ribosomal RNA". It matches the Rfam family "Bacterial small subunit ribosomal RNA", at positions 524 to 776 of the family's 1533-position model. The record is from RNAcentral.
UACGGGGGGGGGCAAGCGUUGUUCGGAAUUACUGGGCGUAAAGGGCUCGUAGGUGGCCAACUAAGUCAGACGUGAAAUCCCUCGGCUUAACCGGGGAACUGCGUCUGAUACUGGAUGGCUUGAGUUUGGGAGAGGGAUGCGGAAUUCCAGGUGUAGCGGUGAAAUGCGUAGAUAUCUGGAGGAACACCGGUGGCGAAGGCGGCAUCCUGGACCAACACUGACACUGAGGAGCGAAAGCCAGGGGAGCAAACAGG